AUACGGAGGAUCCAAGCGUUAUCCGGAAUCAUUGGGUUUAAAGGGUCCGUAGGUGGAUAAUUAAGUCAGAGGUGAAAUCCUGCAGCUCAACUGUAGAAUUGCCUUUGAAACUGGUUGUCUUGAAUUAUUGUGAAGUGGUUAGAAUAUGUAGUGUAGCGGUGAAAUGCAUAGAUAUUACAUAGAAUACCAAUUGCGAAGGCAGGUCACUAACAAUACAUUGACACUGAUGGACGAAAGCGUGGGGAGCGAACAGGAUUAGAUACCCUGGUAGUCCACGCCGUAAACGAUGGUCACUAGCUGUUCGGACUUCGGUCUGAGUGGCUAAGAGAAAUUGAUAAGUGACCCACCUGGGGAGUACGUUCGCAAGAAUGAA
Molecule: ribosomal RNA, 373 nt
Filed under: uncultured bacterium
Lineage: Bacteria
Description: bacterial SSU rRNA
Rfam family: Bacterial small subunit ribosomal RNA
Source: RNAcentral